Molecule: ribosomal RNA, 503 nt
Filed under: uncultured Candida
Lineage: Eukaryota; Fungi; Ascomycota; Saccharomycetes; Saccharomycetales
Description: eukaryotic LSU rRNA
Rfam family: Eukaryotic large subunit ribosomal RNA
Source: RNAcentral
AAACCAACCGGAUUGACCUCAGUAACGGCGAGUGAAGCGGCAAAAGCUCAAAUUUGAAAUCUGCGUAAGCCGAGUUGUAAUUUGAAGAUGGCUACUUUGGUAAUGGCUCUUGUCUAUGUUCCUUGGAACAGGACGUCACAGAGGGUGAGAAUCCCGUGCGAUGAGAUGUCCAUUACCGUGUAAAGUGCUUUCGAAGAGUCGAGUUGUUUGGGAAUGCAGCUCUAAGUGGGUGGUAAAUUCCAUCUAAAGCUAAAUAUUGGCGAGAGACCGAUAGCGAACAAGUACAGUGAUGGAAAGAUGAAAAGAACUUUGAAAAGAGAGUGAAAAAGUACGUGAAAUUGUUGAAAGGGAAGGGCUUGAGAUCAGACUUUGGUAUUUUGUAUGGCUUGCUUUCGGGCGGGUCCUCUGCAGUUUACUGGGCCAGCAUCGGUUUGGGUGGCAGGAUAAUAGCAUAGGAAUGUGGCUCUACUUCGGUGGAGUGUUAUAGCCUUUGUUGAUACUGU